This is a non-coding RNA of Dipodomys ordii (Ord's kangaroo rat), 76 nucleotides long. Lineage: Eukaryota; Metazoa; Chordata; Mammalia; Rodentia; Heteromyidae. The record is from Rfam.
ACCACUGAGCCACCUUCCCAGCCCCUCAAAUAUUUCUCAAAGAAUCUUUAUAGGGCUGGGAAGGUGGCUCAGUGGU